AACGUAGGAGGCGAGCGUUAUCCGGAUUUACUGGGCGUAAAGCGCGUGCAGGCGGUUCUGCAAGUUGGGCGUGAAAUCUUUCGGCUUAACCGGGGGGGGUCGUCCAAUACUGCAGGGCUUGAGGGCAGGAGAGGGAAGUAGAAUUCCCGGUGUAGCGGUAAUAUGCGCAGAUAUCGGGAGGAAUACCAGUGGCGAAGGCGGCUUCCUGGCCUGUACCUGACGCUAAGACGCGAAAGCUAGGGGAGCGAACGGG
Molecule: ribosomal RNA, 253 nt
Filed under: uncultured bacterium
Lineage: Bacteria
Description: partial 16S ribosomal RNA
Rfam family: Bacterial small subunit ribosomal RNA
Source: RNAcentral